Molecule: non-coding RNA, 46 nt
Filed under: Schistosoma margrebowiei
Lineage: Eukaryota; Metazoa; Platyhelminthes; Trematoda; Strigeidida; Schistosomatidae
Source: RNAcentral
CAACUGCUGAGGAGUCUCAUAUUAGGACGAAAUGGCCGUCCAGUGC